Molecule: ribosomal RNA, 468 nt
Filed under: uncultured bacterium
Lineage: Bacteria
Description: partial 16S ribosomal RNA
Rfam family: Bacterial small subunit ribosomal RNA
Source: RNAcentral
GACGAACGCUGGCGGCGUGCUUAACACAUGCAAGUCGAACGGAAAGGCCCUGCUUUUGUGGGGUGCUCGAGUGGCGAACGGGUGAGUAACACGUUGGUAACCUGCCCUUGACUUUGGGAUAACUUCAGGAAACUUGGGCUAAUACCGGAUAGGAGCUCCUGCUGCAUGGUGGGGGUUGGAAAGUUUCGGCGGUUGGGGAUGGACUCGCGGCUUAUCAGCUUGUUGGUGGGGUAGUGGCUUACCAAGGCUUUGACGGGUAGCCUGCCUGAGAGGGUGACCGGACACAUUGGGACUGAGAUACGGCCCAGCCUCCUAUGGGAGGCAGCAGUGGGGUAUAUUGCACAAUGGGCGGAAGCCUGAUGCAGCAACGCCGCGUGCGGGAUGACGGCCUUCGGGUUGUAAACCGCUUUCGCCUGUGACGAAGCGUGAGUGACGGUAAUGGGUAAAGAAGCACCGGCUAACUACGUG